UUUUCAGGGAUUUGUCAUUGC
Molecule: non-coding RNA, 21 nt
Filed under: Caenorhabditis elegans
Lineage: Eukaryota; Metazoa; Nematoda; Chromadorea; Rhabditida; Rhabditidae
Source: RNAcentral